AGUGAACGCUGGCGGUAGGCCUAACACAUGCAAGUCGAACGGCAGCACAGUAAGAGCUUGCUCUUACGGGUGGCGAGUGGCGGACGGGCGAGGAAUACAUCGGAAUCUACUUUUUCGUGGGGGAUAACGUAGGGAAACUUACGCUAAUACCGCAUACGACCUACGGGUGAAAGCAGGGGAUCUUCGGACCUUGCGCGAUUGAAUGAGCCGAUGUCGGAUUAGCUAGUUGGCGGGGUAAAGGCCCACCAAGGCGACGAUCCGUAGCUGGUCUGAGAGGAUGAUCAGCCACACGGGAACUGAGACACGGUCCAGACUCCUACGGGAGGCAGCAGUGGGGAAUAGUGGACAAUGGGCGCAAGCCUGAUCCAGCCAUACCGCGUGGGUGAAGAAGGCCUUCGGGUUGUAAAGCCCUUUUGUUGGGAAAGAAAAGCAGCAGGUUAAUACCCCGCUGUUCUGACGGUACCCAAAGAAUAAGCACCGGCUAACUUCGUG
This 492-nucleotide ribosomal RNA is filed under the name uncultured bacterium. RNAcentral's name for it is "partial 16S ribosomal RNA". It matches the Rfam family "Bacterial small subunit ribosomal RNA", at positions 29 to 507 of the family's 1533-position model. The record is from RNAcentral.